AUGUCCAAAAAAUGAUAGUAUGCGUCCA
This 28-nucleotide small RNA is filed under the name Bombyx mori (domestic silkworm). RNAcentral describes it as "ovarian small RNA-12651". The record is from RNAcentral. Lineage: Eukaryota; Metazoa; Arthropoda; Insecta; Lepidoptera; Bombycidae.